GCUUAAGCACAAACAAAGAUAAAAUAUCCGCCAGAAAAUUACGGGCGAAAGCCUAAAACUCAAAAGACUUGACGGUGUCCCACCUGCCUAGAGGAGCCUGUUCCAUAAUCGACAACCCACGAUAAACCCAACCCCCCUUAGAUAUUAUCAGCCUAUAUACCGCCGUCGUCAGCUUACCUUUUAAAAGUUAUUAAGUAAGCCAAAUAGUAUGACACUAGUAAGUCAGGUCAAGGUGUAGCUUAUAGGGCGGAGGAAAUGGGCUACAUUUUUUAACUUAAACCAAACGGAUUUUGCCCUGAACCUAAAGGAGAUGAAGGCGGAUUUAGCAGUAAUUUAAACAAGAAUAUUUAAAUUAAACCCGCCCUGGGACAUGUACACA
Molecule: ribosomal RNA, 379 nt
Filed under: Riama columbiana
Lineage: Eukaryota; Metazoa; Chordata; Lepidosauria; Squamata; Gymnophthalmidae
Description: partial 12S ribosomal RNA
Rfam family: Bacterial small subunit ribosomal RNA
Source: RNAcentral